RNAcentral lists this small RNA (79 nucleotides) under Klebsiella pneumoniae. RNAcentral describes it as "partial RtT sRNA". It matches the Rfam family "RtT RNA", at positions 1 to 77 of the family's 130-position model. Rfam says of the family: This family represents a bacterial cis-regulatory element known as RtT RNA. The exact function of RtT is unknown although it is thought that it may be involved in changing the cellular response in relation to amino acid starvation. Lineage: Bacteria; Pseudomonadati; Pseudomonadota; Gammaproteobacteria; Enterobacterales; Enterobacteriaceae. The record is from RNAcentral.
UGUUUGCACUUAGCGGGAAGGGUAAGAACCUUCGACUAAGGUUCGACUCGAGCGCCAGCGAGAGAACGUUGCCACAGGC